Long non-coding RNA from Pongo pygmaeus (Bornean orangutan), 834 nucleotides. RefSeq lists it as uncharacterized. The transcript has 3 exons. NCBI's taxonomy places the organism in Eukaryota, Metazoa, Chordata, Mammalia, Primates, Hominidae. The record is from RefSeq and is a predicted model, not a curated record.
GUGAACUGCGGCCAGAACACAGAUCUUGGUCAAGCAGGCUUCAGGCCAGAAGCCAGUUGUCAUUUUUUUUUUCUAGCUGCCAGUUAGAAGCGGGAAUGAACUGUUUACCUGAGAAGGUCUCCAUUGACUAGGAAAAGGGACUCCCACUUCAAUCAUCAGCCACAAUCCUGGGCCACCUUUGACUCGCCUGACUUAGGGAGUAUGUCCUCCUUAGCAUGUGUCAGGAAACAACAGCACUUUUUACAAUGCUGGGUAUGGCUAAUUGGUUCAAGUUGAGAAGCUAAGAAAAGAGUCUGCUUCAGCGGCCAGGCACUGAAUCACAUCUUGAGACCUCACUCCUGCCAGAAAAUGUGGAUGUAAAGAAAAAAAAUGACUGGGUGCAAUGGCUCACACCUGUAAUCCCAGCACUUUGGAAGGCCGAGGCGGGUGGAUCACCUGAGGUCAGGAGUUCGAGACCAACCUGACCAACAUGGUGAAACUCCGUCUCUAUUAAAAAUACAAAAAUUACCUGGGCGUGGUGGGGGGUGCCUGUAAUCCCACCUACUCGGGAGGCUGAGGCAUGAGAAUCACUUGAACUCUGGAGGCGGAGGUUGUAGUGAGCUGAGAUCAUGCCACUGCACUCCAGCCUGGGUGAUAGAGUGAGACUCUGUCUCAAAAAAAAAAAAAAAAAAAUUUGGUCUUAUCUUUCUUUAGUUGAAAGUGAAAUGUUACCUCUCUGAACAAAUGUUUUCCCAAGUGAAAUAAAUACAGGAAGAAUAAAAUCUGCUGAUAAUGAAAAAAAGGUGGAAGUCAUUCUAAGGAGCGGGCAGAAUAAAUGUGCAUCUUACUUCGACA